RNAcentral lists this unclassified non-coding RNA (316 nucleotides) under plant metagenome. Its description in RNAcentral is "partial contains 5.8S ribosomal RNA, internal transcribed spacer 2, and large subunit ribosomal RNA". The stretch from base 1 to 105 matches the Rfam family "5.8S ribosomal RNA", at positions 50 to 154 of the family's 154-position model. The record is from RNAcentral.
GAAAUGCGAUAACUAAUGUGAAUUGCAGAAUUCAGUGAAUCAUCGAGUCUUUGAACGCACAUUGCGCCCCCUGGUAUUCCGGGGGGCAUGCCUGUCCGAGCGUCAUUGCUGCCCUCAAGCCCGGCUUGUGUGUUGGGUCGCCGUCCCCCUCUCCGGGGGGACGGGCCCGAAAGGCAGCGGCGGCACCGCGUCCGAUCCUCGAGCGUAUGGGGCUUUGUCACAUGCUCUGUAGGAUUGGCCGGCGCCUGCCGACGUUUUGCAACCAUUUUUUCCAGGUUGACCUCGGAUCAGGUAGGGAUACCCGCUGAACUUAAGC